Molecule: long non-coding RNA, 2631 nt
Filed under: Sus scrofa (pig)
Lineage: Eukaryota; Metazoa; Chordata; Mammalia; Artiodactyla; Suidae
Description: lncRNA (ENSSSCG00000054930.1)
Source: RNAcentral
GGCCAUAGUAGGGUCUGCAGAGCCACUGCACAGAGCCACAUCGUGAGCCACUACAUUUAUGGCAUUUUGCAGAUUGGAUGUGAUGGACAGGCAGUAGCAUUCACUUAGUGGUUGGCCUUGAGUCAUGUACUCAAAGGACAAAGCUCCUCCAGAGCUCCAGGUGCAGUUGUGAUUAGCCACAGAUACAAGAGUAAAGGGGUCCUGUGGGCAGAAGCAGUGGCUGGUUGAGGCGUUAGGACAGUGAGUAACACAGGAGGGCCCUGUCUGCAGUGGAGGGAGCAGUGGACUGAGGUGGGGGUGGACUACAAGGAAAAAAGAAGCAGUGGCUGGCUUGUGGCUGUCUCCAGAAGUGUGAGUGUUUGAAGUCAGUGGUAUGUUGGGUUAAUUAUUAAAUAAGCAGGUUUCUAGAGCCAUUCAAACGAAGAGCUUUUAACUUAGUAUUCACACCUACCUCUCCUUUCACCCCAUCCCCUGCUGUUAACCAGGAUGUUUUUGCAAAGAAGCAACUCAGGCUGAGUUUGGUGCCAGUGAAAAUUUGAGGGGGCUUUGUGCUUGUUCCUGUAGGAAUCGGCAGGAGAUUCUACAACUAGAUCUUGCCUGACAUCACUGUGGAAGCGGAAUUGAGAUGUGAAUCUUACUCUGUGUGUACCUGUUUUAAUGCAAACUUCCCUUCUUCCAUCCAUAGUCUUAAAUUCCUUUUGUUCAUAUGCCAUCGAGAAUGAGGUUACCAACCUGUUUGCUCUAGAAUUUUCCAAAUUUAGGCCAUUAUUUAUCAUAAUUGCUAUUAUUUAUUCAAUUACAUAGCCUAAUUUUUUGAAUCCUAUUUUAUUUUUCUUAUUUUGGUCUAAUUUUGAAAUUUAAUAAGCACUUCCUGUUGAACUUCCCUUUAGAACAAUGUUUUUUUAGAGUACUUGAUUAAAUUAUUAGGUGAAAAUAAUUAAAAUAUUUUUUCUUUUAAUGUUGCUGAGACUGACAGAGGAAGUGAAUGCUAUAAUUGUCAAACUUUAAAAACAUUUUUACAUCAUCAUUAGUUUACCUUUGUGUUUAGGCAUAAUGAAUACUGCCAAUUUGCAUUUUAAGGAAAACAUGAACGUGAAUAAAAUUAGAUUUUUUUCACUGAAUGUCAUUGCAUCAAACUAUUCAAUAAUUAAAAAUACUUAGAGACUCUGUUUUUAGACUAGAGCAGAAAUCUGGGGUGUAUUUUUUUUCCCUUUUCUGUAGUAUCAAUCAUUUUUUGCCUUUAGGGCCCCAAACUGAUGACUUACAUGUUAAUACACAGAAUGGCCUAUGACUUAGAUUUGUAUUAUCUCUCAUUUUAUACAGCCAUUGACUGGAAAUAUCCAAAGAUAUAAAUUGUUAUAACAUUUCUAACUUGAAAGUAAAGAAUAGAUCUACUUUUGUAAAGGUCACAGAAUGUAGAAUUUUGAAGUAUAUGUACCAAGAUACGGAGUAUAUUCCAUUUAAAUGAUUUGUGUCAAAGAUAAAUGUGUGUCUCUUUUGCCCUAAAAAGUACCUUACACAUUCAGUCAUUUUUUUCUAUCACAAAAGUUCAGUUAAAAAAUGAUAGGAAUUUGGUCAUGAUGAUUGUUGUACAGCUAUAAAUGUAAUAAAAUUCAUUGAUUUUUCUCAAUAAACUCAUCGAUGAUGUCACUAUCCCUCAUGAUACCAAGUUCUCUCUUUUCAGUUCAGAAUAGCUUGAAUUUUGGUGCACAUUUUUUGCUGUUUUAAGACCAAGUUAAAGUAGCCUUAUAUCAAAGGUAGCCUUAUGUGGAGAGCCUUAUUGCAAAGAUUUUAGAGUAUUUAAUUUCUAGUAUUUUUUCUAGAAUUCAGAAUCUUGGGUAUUUCUGGACAUAUGUGAACUUUGAGACGAGUUCUCUAGUUAUGGGUAAAAAUACGUUAAGCACACUGAGAAUGUCUUUACACUUUCAGACAUUUGUAUUCGUGUUAAGUAAAGUUAUACCUCAGUUUUUUUGUUGAUUUUUGUACUGUCAUAUGAUAAAGUUCACAAGUGGAUAAAUUGCUAUGUAUGUGUGUGAAGAAGAUACUUGCCUUAAAAUAGAGCACUUCUGUUUUGCAAACAGCCUAUGGUCAAAUCAUCUUUCCAGUGACUCAUAUAUCUGUGUGCCUGGUGACUGUAGGCCUGAUAAAGUCCAUGGAGGUGAAAAAGAAGAUGAAUGUCUUUUCAGUGUUAAUAUCUGAACCUGGAUUAAAAAGUAUCUUGAACAUGUAAAGAUUUUAUGGAAAAAAUUAUAUGUGUGUUAUGUGGCAUUUACUGCUAAAGGUAGCAAAUGAUUGAACAGAUAAAAUGUCUGUUGUUUUCACCAUUAUUUUCAUUGAUCCUAUUCUCAAUGGGAGCAGUGAUUUUAAAAUAUGUGUAUAGCCAGUUCUGCUAUAUGGUCUAUACUUCUACUAUGUAUACGUAACUACUGCUUAUUGUCAUCAUUAAUGGCCAUCGUGUAUGUCACAGAGAGAUCAGAUGUACCAUCUACCAAUAGGCACGGUAAUUUGGAUAGUGAAGAUUAUAUCAUAGUUUGGGAUUAAAGGUAAAAGUUUUAUUGUUUAGUAGCUCUUUUAGGAAUGAUGGUUUAAAUGGACAUUGCUUUUAUCUUCUAAUAAAAACAUUCUUAAAAU